UACUCACUCUGGUAUUCCUUGAUCUUUCGGU
Molecule: non-coding RNA, 31 nt
Filed under: Mus musculus (house mouse)
Lineage: Eukaryota; Metazoa; Chordata; Mammalia; Rodentia; Muridae
Source: RNAcentral